UUCUUUGCCCUCAGGAAACCUAGACGUCCCUCACAAUCAAUCGGAAGAGUGUUAAAUCACGACUGAAGAGCCUACAUAACCCUCAUUAAAUCGUCCUCUCAAAUCCCCCUUGCAGGUCCAAAUCCCCCUUGCAGGUCCAGGUUUCCACGGCAAUCAACAACCCCUUCAAAGAUCCCAAUCAGAUUAUUGGAACAUGGAACAUAGAAGUCAUGCCUUUUUAUAUGAAUCGAACCAUGGACCUUCAAACAAAAACUCAGUGAUGCGGUUUUUAUACUAGCUGGUUGUCCUUACCAAGUUAGAAACUUGAAGUCAUGCACCAAGGUUGAACUCAACUUUAUUUCACCUGAAAGUCUUGGCGAAUGCAUCCGCUUACAGAACUCUGUAUGCUUCCCAACAAUCACAGGGCCAAACAACAAAAAUUAAACAUUGGGAAAAUGGUGAUUUAUGCAUUACACCACGUUGUAUCGGAAUUGUCAGGAUUUAUAGAUUCAAAUGGGCCCGCUGAUGAUCUUCAAAAUCAAUUCGCACAGGAGCUCGACAUCUUUUGAUGAUUUUCCCUUUAUUUAUUAAGUACUUCAGUUCAUCGGUGAAUUUGAUGAUUAUUUAUGUUGUUUUGUGGAUCAAAGCCCACUGUUACCGACGAAGACGAUUCGGGUACAAAAACGAAAGAGAGAAGAAGGCCAAUUCUGAUUGAUAAAUUCGCAUCUAAAAGGCCAGCGGUUGACCCUAUGAUCGCUCAAGCGGUUUUGGCACCACCUUAACCCGGAAAGGCCCCCACUCCUGGAAAAUUUAAAGACAAUUUGGUAAAGAAAAGCGGUGCAGCGGCGCGUAGGCCGAAAGCUAAAGACGACGACAAUGAAAUUCACGAUGACGAGACGUCCGAGCUUAACGUUGCGAUCCCGGGUGCAAAAAAGGGUAGAAAGUGGAGUAAAGCGAGUAGGAAAGCGGUUAGAAUGCGGUUAGCGCGUGAGGCUGAGCCCGUUAAAGUUGAACUCAUGGAAGUUGAUGAAAUGGUAUGUUAAUCGAUGAAUUAGCGUAUAAUCUAAUCUGGCGGUUAGUGAAGGUGAGAUUCUCGGCCAUCUUUACGCAAAGGGUAUUAAGCCUAACGGGGUGCAAAAAUUGGAUAAAGAAAUGGUGAAGAUGAUAUGUAGAGAGUAUGAUGUAGAAGUUAUUAAUGUGGGUCCGGCUAAAAUAGAGGAAAUGGCGAAAAAGAAAGAGAUUUUGGAUGAAGACGAUCUUAAUAAUUUACAACAUCGACCACCUGUUCUCACUAUCAUGGGUCAUGUUGAUCACGGAAAAAAGUUGCAAGUUGCUAAAGGGCAUUCUGCACCAUGAACACCUAGAGAACAACCUGACACAAACACCUACAGAGUUGAACCAGAGGCCAGGGCCUUCAGGACGGCAGUCUAUUGGAGCUCCGACUGAGCCGAUGGAGGACACGUCUAUUGUCAACGAUGAAGGGUUGCUCAUGAUGCUAUUCAAGAAUAGUUAUUUAAUUAAGCGAGGAAGAUGACUCUAUGGAAACAAUACCCAAAAUUCUCAAGUAUAAUUGUGAAAUUAAAGAGGCAAAUGGGAGCUUGAUGAGUGAUUUGCUGUAAAUGUUGAAGAAAGCAGCAAGUUUAAUGCUUUUAAGGUACUAAAAAUGGGCGAAAAACUUAAGUAUUAGUUGUGUUUUUAAUAGACACCUUGGGAUUCUGGGGAACUGUUUUGUUAUAUAGAUACAAAAGCCUAUUAUUAUGAGAUGUAAUAUUCAUUCACAGUUUGUUGGAUUUUCUUUGUAUAUGAUGAAUUUGACUUGAUUUGGUUGAAUAUUGUGGAUAAAGAUUUGUUCUGAGCAUAGAUGAAACGGCUUAAGGUAGCUGGAACAUAUGUCGGAAACAAGAAGCGAGUUUUAGUGACACUAUAAUUUUCUUGAAACGGCUUAAGGUGGUUGUCUUGAGAAGCUGGCUCGAUCUUGAAACGGCUUAAGGUGGUUGGAACGUAUGUCGGAAACAAGAAGCGAGUUUUAGUGACACUAUAAUUUUCUGUGAA
Molecule: long non-coding RNA, 2031 nt
Filed under: Helianthus annuus (common sunflower)
Lineage: Eukaryota; Viridiplantae; Streptophyta; Magnoliopsida; Asterales; Asteraceae
Source: RNAcentral